Molecule: ribosomal RNA, 468 nt
Filed under: uncultured bacterium
Lineage: Bacteria
Description: partial 16S ribosomal RNA
Rfam family: Bacterial small subunit ribosomal RNA
Source: RNAcentral
GACGAACGCUGGCGGCGUGCUUAACACAUGCAAGUCGAACGGAAAGGCCCUGCUUUUGUGGGGUGCUGGAGUGGCGAACGGGUGAGUAACACGUGAGUAACCUGCCCUUGACUUUGGGAUAACUUCAGAAAACUGGGGCUAAUACCGGAUAGGAGCUCCUGCUGCAUGGUGGGGGCUGGUAAGUUUCGGCGGUUGGGGAUGGACUCGCGGCUUAUCAGCUUGUUGGUGGGGUAGUGGCUUACCAAGGCUUUGACGGGUAGCGGGGCUGAGAGGGUGACCGGCCACAUUGGGACUGAGAUACGGCCCAGACUCCUACGGGAGGCAGCAGUGGGGAAUAUUGCACAAUGGGAGGAAGCCUGAUGCAGCAACGCCGCGUGCGGGAUAACGGCCUUCGGGUUGUAAACCGCUUUCGCCUGUGACGAAGCGUGAGUGACGGUAAUGGGUAAAGAAGCACCGGCUAACUACGUG